This 89-nucleotide small nucleolar RNA is filed under the name Ipomoea nil (Japanese morning glory). RNAcentral describes it as "Small nucleolar RNA snoR20a". It matches the Rfam family "Small nucleolar RNA snoR20a". Rfam says of the family: The O.sativum sequence was obtained from the plant snoRNA database. The record is from Rfam by way of RNAcentral. Lineage: Eukaryota; Viridiplantae; Streptophyta; Magnoliopsida; Solanales; Convolvulaceae.
GCCUAUGAUGACACUUUUGUAUGGUUCCUGAAAUGCUAGGUUUUAACCUGGCUACAAUGAUUAUGCAUUGAACUAGGACGGUCUGAGGC